RNAcentral lists this ribosomal RNA (500 nucleotides) under uncultured bacterium. Its description in RNAcentral is "partial 16S ribosomal RNA". It matches the Rfam family "Bacterial small subunit ribosomal RNA", at positions 28 to 523 of the family's 1533-position model. The record is from RNAcentral.
GACGAACGCUGGCGGCGUGCCCAAUACAUGCAAGUCGAGCGAGACUCUUCGGAGUCUAGCGGCGGACGGGUGAGUAACACGUGGGCAACCUGCCUGUAAGACUGGGAUAACACCGGGAAACCGGUGCUAAUACCGGAUAAUCCUUUUCCUCUCAUGAGGAAAAGCUGAAAAUCGGUUUCGGCUGACACUUACAGAUGGGCCCGCGCGGCAUUAGCUAGUUGGUGAGGUAACGGCUCACCAAGGGGACGAUGCGUAGCCGACCUGAGAGGGUGAUCGGCCACACUGGGACUGAGACACGGCCCAGACUCCUACGGGAGGCAGCAGUAGGGAAUCUUCCACAAUGGACGAAAGUCUGAUGGAGCAACGCCGCGUGAGCGAUGAAGGCCUUCGGGUCGUAAAGCUCUGUUGUUAGGGAAGAACAAGUACCGGAGUAACUGCCGGUACCUUGACGGUACCUAACCAGAAAGCCACGGCUAACUACGUGCCAGCAGCCGCGGUAA